This 466-nucleotide ribosomal RNA is filed under the name uncultured bacterium. Its description in RNAcentral is "partial 16S ribosomal RNA". It matches the Rfam family "Bacterial small subunit ribosomal RNA", at positions 28 to 507 of the family's 1533-position model. The record is from RNAcentral.
GAUGAACGCUGGCGGCGUGCUUAACACAUGCAAGUCGAACGAUGAAGCCCAGCUUGCUGGGUGGAUUAGUGGCGAACGGGUGAGUAACACGUGAGUAACCUGCCCUUAACUCUGGGAUAAGCCUGGGAAACUGGGUCUAAUACCGGAUAGGAGCGUCCACCGCAUGGCGGGUGUUGGAAAGAUUUAUCGGUUUUGGAUGGACUCGCGGCCUAUCAGCUUGUUGGUGAGGUAAUGGCUCACCAAGGCGACGACGGGUAGCCGGCCUGAGAGGGUGACCGGCCACACUGGGACUGAGACACGGCCCAGACUCCUACGGGAGGCAGCAGUGGGGAAUAUUGCACAAUGGGCGAAAGCCUGAUGCAGCGACGCCGCGUGAGGGAUGACGGCCUUCGGGUUGUAAACCUCUUUCAGUAGGGAAGAAGCGAAAGUGACGGUACCUGCAGAAGAAGCACCGGCUAACUACGUG